This is a long non-coding RNA of Callithrix jacchus (white-tufted-ear marmoset), 1899 nucleotides long. Lineage: Eukaryota; Metazoa; Chordata; Mammalia; Primates; Cebidae. The record is from Ensembl.
AUGGUCUCCUCAUCCUUUCUCUUCUGUCUUCACAUGGUCUCCUCAUCUAUUCUCUUCUAUCUUCACAUGGUCUCCUCAUCUAUUCUCUUCUAUCUUUACAUGGUCUCCUCAUCUAUUCUCUUCUGUCUUCACGUGGUCUCCUCAUUCUUUCUCUUCUAUCUUCACAUGGUCUCCUCAUCCUUUCUCUUCUAUCUUCACAUGGUCUCCUCAUCUAUUCUCUUCUGUCUUCACAUGGUCUCCUCAUCUAUUCUCUUCUGUCUUCACAUGGUCUCCUCAUCUAUUCUCUUCUGUCUUCACAUGGUCUCCUCAUCCAUUCUCUUCUAUCUUCACAUGGUCUCCUCGUCCUUUCUCUUCUGUCUUCACAUGGUCUCCUCAUCUAUUCUCUUCUGUCUUCACAUGGUCUCCUCAUCCUUUCUCUUCUAUAUUCACAUGGUCUCCUCAUCCAUUCUCUUCUAUCUUCACAAGGUCUCCUCAUCCUUUCUCUUCUGUCUUCACAUGGUCUCCUCAUCCUUUCUCUUCUAUCUUCACAUGGUCUCCUCAUCUAUUCUCUUCUGUCUUCACAUGGUCUCCUCAUCCAUUCUCUUCUAUCUUCACAUGGUCUCCUCGUCCUUUCUCUUCUGUCUUCACAUGGUCUCCUCAUCUAUUCUCUUCUGUCUUCACAUGGUCUCCUCAUCCUUUCUCUUCUGUCUUCACGUGGUCUCCUCAUCCAUUCUCUUCUAUCUUCACAUGGUCUCCUCAUCCUUUCUCUUCUGUCUUCACAUGGUCUCCUCAUCUAUUCUCUUCUGUCUUCACGUGGUCUCCUCAUCCUUUCUCUUCUAUCUUCACGUGGUCUCCUCAUCCUUUCUCUUCUAUCUUCACAUGGUCUCCUCGUCCUUUCUCUUCUAUCUUCACGUGGCCUCCUCGUCCUUUCUCUUCUGUCUUCACGUGGCCUCCUCAUCCUUUCUCUUCUAUCUUCACGUGGUCUCCUCAUCCAUUCUCUUCUGUCUUCACAUGGUCUCCUCAUCCUUUCUCUUCUGUCUUCACAUGGUCUCCUCAUCCUUUCUCUUCUGUCUUCACAUGGUCUCCUCAUCCUUUCUCUUCUAUCUUCACAUGGUCUCCUCGUCCUUUCUCUUCUAUCUUCACGUGGUCUCCUCAUCCAUUCUCUUCUAUCUUCACGUGGUCUCCUCGUCCUUUCUCUUCUAUCUUCACGUGGCCUCCUCAUCCUUUCUCUUCUGUCUUCACAUGGUCUCCUCAUCCUUUCUCUUCUGUCUUCACAUGGUCUCCUCAUCCUUUCUCUUCUGUCUUCACAUGGUCUCCUCGUCCUUUCUCUUCUAUCUUCACAUGGUCUCCUCAUCCUUUCUCUUCUGUCUUCACGUGGUCUCCUCAUCCUUUCUCUUCUGUCUUCACGUGGUCUCCUCACCCUUUCUCUUCUGUUUUCACGUGGCCUCCUCGUCCUUUCUCUUCUGUUUUCACGUGGUCUCCUCGUCCUUUCUCUUCUGUCUUCAUGUGGUCUCAUCCUUUCCCUUCUGUCUUCACGUGGCCCCCUCAUUUUUUCUCUUCUGUCUUCACGUGGUCUCCUCGUCCUUUCCCUUCUGUCUUCAUGUGGCCUCCUCGUCCUUUCUCUUCUGUCUUCACGUGGCCUCCGCAUCCUUUCUCUUGUCUUCACGUUGCCUCCUCAUCCUUUAUCUUCUGUCUUCACAUGGCCUCCUCAUCCUUUCUCUUCUACAUAUAGUUGCCGUUCUAAGGACUACCCCAAAUCUAAGACGAUCUCAUCUCCAGACCCUUAACUUAAUGGCAAAGGCCUUUUUCCAAAUCAGCUCACAUCACAGGUGCCUGGGGCUGGGAAUUGGAUAUACGUUGUGGGCAGCACUCAGCCCACUGCAGAUGGGAGCAUUUGAGCUUCAAAAGUCAUUAUGGUAG